Caenorhabditis elegans is the source of this 21-nucleotide non-coding RNA. NCBI's taxonomy places the organism in Eukaryota, Metazoa, Nematoda, Chromadorea, Rhabditida, Rhabditidae. The record is from Ensembl.
AUGAACAUAAGAUUUCGAGAG